UUAAAGCUUUAAUUAAACAGU
Molecule: non-coding RNA, 21 nt
Filed under: Caenorhabditis elegans
Lineage: Eukaryota; Metazoa; Nematoda; Chromadorea; Rhabditida; Rhabditidae
Source: RNAcentral